GAAAGUAAGCAAGGGCAGACGGUGGAUGCCUUGGCUCUCGGAGGCGACGAAGGACGUGAUAAGCUGCGAAAAGCUCGGGGGAGGCGCAAAUAGCCGUUGAUCCCGGGAUAUCCGAAUGGGGCAACCCGGCAGGCUGAAGGCCUGCCAUCCCGUAAGGGAGGCGAACGUGGGGAACUGAAACAUCUAAGUACCCAUAGGAGGAGAAAAUAAACAAUGAUUCCGUAAGUAGUGGCGAGCGAACACGGAAGAGCCCAAACCCAUGUCGUCUAGGCGACACGGGGGUUGUAGGACCACGACGUGGCAAGAUAGAGUCAAGUGGAACGCCUUGGAAAGGGCGACCGUAGAGGGUGAUAGUCCCGUACACGACUGACGAUUGAAGCCUAGUGGUAUCCUGAGUAGCGCGGGGCACGAGAAAUCUUGCGUGAAUUAGCGGGGCCCAUCCCGUAAGGCUAAAUACUCCCGAGAGACCGAUAGCGAACCAGUACCGUGAGGGAAAGGUGAAAAGAACCCCGAGCAGGGGAGUGAAAUAGACCCUGAACCCGUCUGCCUACAAGCGGUCGGAGCGUCGUAAUGACGUGACGGCGUGCCUUUUGCAUAAUGAACCUACGAGUUACCUUCCCCGGCAAGGUUAAGUACCUAAGGUACGGAGCCGAAGCGAAAGCGAGUCUGAACAGGGCGCCAAGUCGGGGGGGGUAGACGCGAAACCGAGUGAUCUACCCUUGGCCAGGUUGAAGGUUGGGUAACACCAACUGGAGGACCGGAUGGGUAAGCGUUGAAAAGCUUUCCAAUGAGCUGAGGGUAGGGGUGAAAGGCUAAUCAAACUCGGAGAUAGCUCGUACUCCCCGAAAUGCAUUUAGGUGCAGCCUCUUUAUAGUAUAUCGUGAGGUAGAGCGACUGAUUGGAUGCGAGGGCUUCACCGCCUAUCAAGUCCAGAUAAACUCCGAAUGCGCGAUAUAUAUUUACAGGGAGUGAGGGCGCGGGUGCUAAGGUCCGUGUCCGAGAGGAGAAGAAUCCAGACCACCGGCUAAGGCCCCCAAAUGAUCGUUAAGUUGAACUAACGAGGUCGGAUCGCAGAGACAGCUAGGAUGUUGGCUUGGAAGCAGCCAUUCAUUUAAAGAGUGCGUAACAGCUCACUAGUCGAGCGAUCUGGCGUGGAUAAUAAUCGGGCAUAAACGAUCUGCCGAAGCCGUGGAUGUCGCAAGACAUGGUAGGGGAGCAUUCCAUGCGGCGUCGAAGAUGAGGGAUGACCCUUGUUGGAGCGCAUGGAAAAGCAAAUGUAGGUAUGAGUAACGAUAAGGGGGGCGAGAAACCCCCCCGCCGAAAGACCAAGGUUUCCUGAUCAACGCUAAUCGGAUCAGGGUGAGUCGGGACCUAAGGCAAAGCCGAACGGCGCCGCCGAUGGAAGAAUGGGUUAAUAUUCCCAUACUGCCUCAUGGAGUGACGUGGAGACGGAGAAGUGACAGUCCUGCCGGCUGACGGAAUAGCCGGUUGAAGGGUGUAGAUAUUGAUUCCCGUAGGCAAAUCCGCGGGGAGAGUCGAACCUGAGAGUAUACGGAGCGCUUGCGCGACGUAAUAUGGACGUAACCAUGCUCCCGAGAAAAUCCGCUAAACUUAUCCAUGCGGCACCCGUACCGUAAACGGACACACGUGGUCGGGUUGAGAAUACUGAGGCGCUCGAGUGAUUCACGGUUAAGGAACUAGGCAAAUUGACCCUGUAACUUCGGGAUAAAGGGUCCUCGUCGUAAGGCGAGGCGCAGAGAAUAGGUCCAGGCAACUGUUUAACAAAAACACAUGGCUGUGCUAAAUGGAAACAUGACGUAUACAGCCUGACACCUGCCCGGUGCCGGAAGGUUAAGAGGAGAUGUCAUCCGCGAGGAGAAGCGUUGAAUUGAAGCCCCGGUAAACGGCGGCCGUAACUAUAACGGUCCUAAGGUAGCGAAAUUCCUUGUCGGGUAAGUUC
RNAcentral lists this ribosomal RNA (1960 nucleotides) under human gut metagenome. RNAcentral's name for it is "bacterial LSU rRNA". It matches the Rfam family "Bacterial large subunit ribosomal RNA", at positions 1 to 1983 of the family's 2925-position model. The record is from RNAcentral.